Molecule: ribosomal RNA, 251 nt
Filed under: Pneumocystis jirovecii
Lineage: Eukaryota; Fungi; Ascomycota; Pneumocystomycetes; Pneumocystales; Pneumocystaceae
Description: partial large subunit ribosomal RNA
Rfam family: Bacterial large subunit ribosomal RNA
Source: RNAcentral
GUGAAAUACAAAUCGGACUAGGAUAUAGCUGGUUUUCUGCGAAAAUUGUUUUGGCAAAUUGUUUAUUCCUCUUAAAAAUAGUAGGUAUAGCACUGAAUAUCUCGAGGGAGUAUGAAAAUAUUUAUCUCAGAUAUUUAAUCUCAAAAUAACUAUUUCUUAAAAUAAAUAAUCAGACUAUGUGCGAUAAGGUAGAUAGUCGAAAGGGAAACAGCCCAGAACAGUAAUUAAAGCUCCCCAAUUAAUAUUAAGUG